Molecule: long non-coding RNA, 6953 nt
Organism: Sarcophilus harrisii (Tasmanian devil)
Lineage: Eukaryota; Metazoa; Chordata; Mammalia; Dasyuromorphia; Dasyuridae
Source: Ensembl
GGGGACAGGAGUGCACAGAGGGGCCGAGCUCUCCCACCUUAUUGCCAUGAUUUAAAUAAGAACAGCUCACAUUUAUAAAGCACUUCUAAAGCAGACAUUUUCUCAUUUGAUCCUCACCUUAAUCCUGGCUGUUAUUAUCACCCCCAAUUUACAGAUGAAGAAACUAAGACUUGGAAGGGUUAAGCCCAGAUCACAGCACAAGAGGGCCAUUAAGUGGAGCCAUAGUGAAUGAUGCACUGGGUCUGGAGACGGAAAGGUUAGGAUUCUUACCAGUCGCCCCAGCCCCGGGUCUUGUCACGCCCCUGAAUUUGAAAGUCCGGUUGCCUUCGGCGAGGUGCUUCUCCAUGUGUCGCUCGUACUGCUCCUUCUUGGAGAAGGUGUAAUUGCACGUGCUGCAGAUGAAGGACUUUUUGAUGACGUGCAUGACGUCGGCACAGAGCUCACACGCGUACAGUGUGGUGUGCUUGAUUUCCGGCUUCUCCUUCACACCGUGCUCCUGACUCAGGUGGCUCCGGAGCUCUCGGGUCUCCUUGUAGAACUUGGGACACCGGGUGCACAUGUAGAUUUUCUCAAGGCUGUGCACUACCAGGUGGCGCUGGAGCUUGAAGGGCUUGGGGAACUGCUUUCCACAGUGGUGGCAAUCCCUGGAAGGAUCUUUGCACUGCGGGUGCAUGGGGACCACUUUGGAAGGGAGCUCGCCAGUAGGUCCGGGAUCAGGAGAGCCUACUUUGGAAGAGCUGGAUAAGGCGGUGGCUGCGGCAGAGAAGCUGCUGUUGGCAGCAGUGUUGGUCUGAGCCAAGGGCUUGUUCUUGCCGCUGCCUUCAGCAAUGUCCGGACUUCCUUUGGGUUCUUGAACUUUGGGGUCUUUGCUCUUACUAGCGGAGUGCUUGCCCCGGGAGGGCUUGGGCUUCCGAUUCAUGAUGGUGUUCAGAAACUGAGUGACUGCACUGUCCUCUCCAAAGCAGGGGGGCAACCCCGUCAUGCACUUCUGAACCUGACCUUUGCGGGCAAACUUGGCGGCAUGCUCCCGGAGGUGUUCGUUGUACAUCCAGACGUCCGAGAUCUCCUUCAGGCACAUGCCGCAGGCCCAAAGGCCUACCUUGUUUUUUGCAUGCUUCCCUUUUAAAUGCUCCUUCAGCUGCUCCCUGGAACUGAACUUCCGCUGGACGCACAUAUAGCACGUUGGCGGAGGAGAUGGGUUGUGAGUGAGCUUGUGAAAGUCCAGCUCUCCCAGCGUGAGAAACCACUGGAAGCACACUUUGCACUUGUAGUGCUUUUCCCGGGUCUUGAUGGUCAGGUCGCUGCGACUCCUGCCCCUUUUCCCUUCCUCUUCUUUUGCUUUGUUAGGUUGCAUGUGUUCAUUCGCCUUCUUGAAACUUAAAGUGCUUGGGUCGGACUGGCCUGAACAGUCUCCGCAGGUACUGAAGAAAUGCAUGUCUCUCAUCUCAAACUUGGUGUUCAGCAGCUCGAUGUCGAUGGGAUGAAGAUCCGGGGAGCUGGGGUUCCUCUGGAGAUGGCCGGUGUAGGUCUCUACCUCCAGCUCUGGGGGCUCCGGGCUCACUUCUCCCAGAGAAUACUCGGUUUUAGCUUCCAAAGACGACUUGAAAGGCAUCUCGUUACAGGGAUCCAGGACUUCCAGGUCAUUCCAAACAGCCGGCGAUAUGUGUAGGCUGGGGAUGGCCUCCAGCCUGUUGUUUGGGCAGAGAUAGGUCAGCAUUUCGUCAUCAUCCAGAUUGAGGCCCAUUUUGUGGUCCCCGUCUGUUUCACUGUCCACCUUAUGAGUCCCUAAGCCGGGACUCAGAGACCAGGCAUCAUUCCCCUGGCACAUGUCCAGGGAAAAGGCAUCGUGGAAAGACAUGGACUCAUAACUGCAGGGGUCCUCCUGGGUGACGCAGAAAGAGUCGGUAUCACUGAGAUCUGACGGUAGGCGGAUGGAGAACAUCUCUGUGGACCCCACCACCUGGCUUCUGGUCUCUAUAACUGGUUUGGGUUUCUUGGGCCCUUUCCCAUAAACACGGGUGCACUUCCUCCGGGAGAAGUGAUCGUCCCUUGGGAAGAGGAGGGAAAAUGUUGCAUCAUCAUCAAAUAAGUGCUGGAGGUCCACUUUGGUCUCAUCUUUGGCAAAGGACUCUUUGCCCUGCUCCCCCUCCCGCUGGGCUUCUGAAUCCAUCACAGCAUCCUCUGAGAAGACCGGGGGUAGACCGGCGAUUGACAUGGUCUUUCUUUUUUCCAGAUCUGAAGGUGCUAAGGGCACAUCUGGCUCAGCAGGACUUAAGGGUUCCCGUUUCAAGGGCAAAUCACACUUUCCCAAUGGGCUGUCUCCUAAUUUCCUUCUUUCCAUGACAUAUUCCUCUACAUUUGUACCAUGAGUAUCUUCAUGCAUCUCAUUGUAAACGCCACACAGCCCUUCCUCUUCGGGCCUCAGGAAAUUGUUUUCCCAGGAUUCCUCUGAAAUCUGGACAUGAUCUCUUGUAGACAGGCUCUCCAUCCUCCCUUGACCACCUAUCAAAUCACUGAUGGUCUUCUGGCCAAGUGUCUCUUCUGUAAAUAGUAUCUGAUUUCCCAUUUCAGCCACAUCCUCAAAAGUCUCUUGGACUGGUUUGGUGCAGAGAGAUGAAUAAGACCAGUCCUUUUCCGAUGGUGAGAGGGAACUAUUUGGCUGCCCAGGAUAACUGGCAAUGGUAGAUGAUGAACUUGAGUCAGGUCUAGCUAAACUCACAUCCGGAGCAACUUCUGGGAUACUCUUCUCCAAGUCAGAAUCCUCAAAGCAUCCCUUUUUCCUUGGGAAUCUUUUCACUUGCUUUUUUCUCACUCCUUGAAUUAAUUUCCCUUCCGAAUCGCUGCUUAAGUCUGCAGGUUCUUUGCUUUGGCGCUUCCUACCUUUUCGCCUCCUGUCUAAUUUUUUAGGACUGGGCUUCCUUCUGUGUGAUCUGUCUGAUUUCCCAGACUCCAGGUCCUGAGGUUGUAUCUUUGUUUUGUCAUCCACCAAGUCCGAGUGCAGGAGUUUUGGGGUCACUGGAGGAGCUGCAACCCUGAGGCUACUUAGCUCUGGACUGACCUCCUGGUGUUCUUGGGUGUUGGGCUCCUCCUCCAGAGGUGGUCCAGGAGUAGGGCUGCUGUUGAUUAGGGAAUCACAUGCCUUCUCUUUCACUGUUAUGGCCCUUAGGUUUUUCUUUGAGUGUCUUGAUAUUUUUGGUCCUUUUUCCAAAGGAGCAGAGCUCGAUCUGGUUGUUUUAUUUGGCAGCGAGGGGCCAUCGUUCUUUAUCCGAUGUUUCACAGCUUUGUGUCUCAUCAAGCCGGGUUUCGAUUUGAAGGACAAGGAGCAGAUAUCGCAUGUGACUUGUAGCUCAUUUGACUGGGGGGGAUUUCUUUUCCAUUGGCCAUUCCUCAAAGGUGGUGGCUUCUUUUUAAAUCUACUCUUUUCUGGGACGGGAUCCAGGUAGUUUUGCACAUCACCGAUGAAAGAUUCUGGCGGCUCAUUUCCUUGGCUUUUAGAAGGACCGAUACUUAAACUGUCCUUUCUUGGGUCUAUACUUGGAGAAGCAGAAUUGAAGGAGCUCACUGCUGUUGCUGCCAAAAGGUGGGCAUCCUCUGGAUCCCCAAUGUUGGUUUCAGGCAUCUUUGUAAGUUUAGGGUCCAUAGUUACAGAGUACAACUUCUUUCCAUUGUUUUUAGCUUCUUUUUCUUGUUGAGAAAUGGGCUCUUGCUCUACUUUAGUUUCCUCACUAAACAGAGAGUGCCUGAGACCCUCUGGGUAAACUUCAAUUUCCCCUUUGGAGUGGAUAUUGAGAGUCACAUCGGAGAGGGACUUUGAUUGGUUUUCCUUAUGGUGGGGGCAUUCCAACUCUAUGCAGGUGCAUUUCAAGGAUGUUCUUCUGACAUCAUCCUGGCCCAAGUGGGAAAUGUAGGAAAUGGUGGAGUCAUGUAUUGGUGCUUUUGGGGAGACAUCUUCUGCCAGGGGAGAGGAAAUAGCAUGACUGGGGUCAAAGGGAUUAGGAGAGGUCCUCGGUUUCUCUUCUCCAACCUCCACUUGGUUAUUUAAAAUGUCUUCCUCUGUACAGCAUUUGCCAUUGUCAUCUGCAACUUGUGGAAGGGAGAGCCUGAUGAUCUGAUCCUGAAAUAGUGACUGAGUUAAAUGAAUAUUUUCACUGGUAUUCUUUUCUAUUGGGCUCUGUGCAGGGUCACAUUUUAGACUUUUCUCAGGAUCAUAGAUGGUUUUCUCCAAAGACCAAAUUGAUUGAGAGGUUGAUUUCCUCUCUGGAUCGUGUAGUAGGACACCAUAGUCAUCUUUUUCAGCUUGAGGAUCCACCGUAGUCAAGAGGUCUUCAGCUCCAUUACUCUGCACACAUUCCUGGUCAGAAACUGUUGCCUGCAAAGAAAGACCGAAGGCUGAGUCUUCCCCUGAGAGAGGGGACUGAAGGUGCUUCUUUGGAGAGACACUGGCUUCUUCUGAAAAUGAUCCUGAAAUUGUUUGGUUUUUCCAGUGGUCCUUCUCCAAGAGGUGCUUGGAGCUUGGGGAAUAAGCAGGCAGUACUGUUAGCCCAUCAAGUAAUUUCUCAGGGGUCCUUUUGCUUUUCUUAGCAGAGGGUAAGUGCUUCUCCUCCUUCCCCAGAGCACUACCUUUGCCCUGUAUUUCUGUGAUUGGAUCACCCAGUUCCUCUUUCUCAAGAGAGACAGGGCUUAAUGAGAAUUUUUGGUGCUUUUUCAAUGUCCAGGUUGCAAUGCUGUGCUCUUGUUCUAGGUCUCUGUUGGGUUGAUCUUCCCUUUUUGUCAGUUUGGCCACUGGGAAGUUAGAUGUGUCACUGAAUGGGAUGGAAUUGGUGUUUUGUGAGACACCAUCUGAGCAGAUGUGAAGAUCAUCUGAUUCUGGACUCUGAUGUAGCUCGGGACUCCCCACUAUGGAUUGCUUUAAAGGGAAUGAUUCUGUUUCACUGAGUAAAUCCAGAUCGUCACCUGUCUCUGCAAACAGCUGAAUUCCUAUUGUGGGGGUUAGAGGUGCCAUCUGCCCAUCUUCCAUGAUUCCAUCAUCAUUGCUGCAGUUACAAUCCAUGUGCCCAUCUUCCUGACUCUCCUCUUUCAGAUCAGGAGAGCUGGUGCUUGGGAGUUGGAGACUGGCAGAGAGUAGCUCUGUGAGGCAAGAGGGCAUUUUUUCUUCCUCAUUAUUUUGAACUGUCCUGGCCACAAAGAGCUGGAGCUCUUGUAGGGGAUUUGCUAUUGAACUCUGGGAUACUGGUUCUAUUUCAUCACCACAAGCUGGAUCUUUGGCCAAACUCAGCACCUCAAAUAAUGAAGCUUUUGGGUUGCCAGCCUUCUCACAGAUUGACAUCGGUGAAUAGGAGAUUUCCUUGUUCCCCUCCAAUACAGGAUCCUCUUCACUGGGCUGGGAGCUGACUGUGCUCUUAGGAGUUUCUGCCCUAUUUGCUUUCUUUAAAGCAUUUUCCUCUGAGGUGAUGAAAUUUCUGGCAUCCAAAGAUGAAGGGGUCUCCAGAACUGGAACUCUAUCGUCCUGAAAAACCAUUUCAGAUUUCAAAAAGGUUACCGGAUUGUCAAAUGCUUCUAGUUCAGGUGGCUCACUGAGUGUCUGAGACAUCUCAUGGGGUUCUGGAAACAUGUCUUCUCUAGUUUUUCCUGGGAGAAGUUGCAGAGGAUCCUGUUUAGUUAUUUUGCUAGCUUCCUUAUUUUCAGAACUCAUAGAUUCUCUGAUGGGGCUGCUCUUUGUCAAGCUUUCUGCAGAGGCUAAAGGCUCUGGGUUUUCAGACACAUCAGAAAAGGAGGGAUCAGCACUAAUGAGGGAUUCAUUUUCGAUCUCAGAGCAGCUGGUCUGCUUUGAAAUAUCAGUUUCCUGGAGCUCGAGCUGAAACUGGUCACAAGUCAAGGGGGAACCAAAAGGAUCUAAAGUGACCGUAUCUUCAUGUGCACUCGGGGACAUGCUUGUUGUCAGUGGGUCAAAUGAUAGUGCACAUGGCCAGCUUUCUUGAUGACUUCCAUAGUCUCCAUCCAUACUGGCCACUUCUUUGUCCUCACCUGGAUCUGUUCCACUGGGACUUUUGGGUGCUAUGAGAUUUGUGCCCUCAAGAUGAGUGAGCUCAUGGGUUAAGAACAAAUGCUUCUCGUGUUCAGAUUCUUGUCCUAGAGGCGAAGGUGAAAACUGUUUUGUUGUUUCAGGUGCAUCCAAAGCAAUAAAGUGCUCAGGAGAAUGUAGGACGCCAGGCGCUGCAUCAUCAAGUUUGCUAGUUUGAAGUUCACUUUCCAGUUCUGUGACCAAUCGCUUGAUUUCCAGCUCAUCCUCUGAUAUGUUAUUCAUAAAAGCCUUGUUUCCUGCAAGCACCUACCAUGUCUAAUACACUUUGCUAAAUCCUGGGAAUACCAAGAGGAGGAAAAGUUGAACAGAUGCAAGACUUGAGGAGGGAGUCAUCCCUAGACAAUUCUACUGUCUGUGAGAGGUAGGUAUUUAUUUUUAGUUAGUAUAAUGGAAGUUCCUUGGGGAAAGGGGGUAGCUCCCUUUUAUUUUGAUAACUGUUUGUUGCACUGAAUUGAAUUAGAAGGAAGGAUCUCUUUUAGUUGGGGUGAAGGUUUCACAGAGGAAGUUCUAGAUUAGGGAUUCUCAACCUUUCUUAUAUUCUGGUCCCCACCUGGUCUGGUGAGAUCCAGGGACUUUUUCUCAGAAUCAUGUUUCUUAGUGCAUCAAAUAAGAGAUCUAGGAUUACAAGUGCAAAACCUCUGUGUAUGUGCGCAUGUAUAUAUGUAUACAAUGUACAUAUGACAUAUAUACAACACAUGCAUGCAUAUUUGUAUACAUAUAAACAUAUAUAUAUAGACAUAUGGAAAUUAUUAUAUUGAAAUGCAUUAUCAAAAUACUGACCAUCCUCCUUCCUACCUCCAGGUUCACAGCUCCUCCUGCUAGAUCAUAGAUACAUAGACUGAGAAUAGAAGGAACCUCAGGGGUAACUGAG